This 668-nucleotide ribosomal RNA is filed under the name uncultured bacterium. Its description in RNAcentral is "bacterial SSU rRNA". It matches the Rfam family "Bacterial small subunit ribosomal RNA", at positions 9 to 694 of the family's 1533-position model. The record is from RNAcentral.
GAGUUUGAUCCUGGCUCAGGACGAACGCUGGCGGCAUGCCUAACACAUGCAAGUCGAGCGAGUUGAUCCCUUCGGGGUGAAGCUAGCGGCGGACGGGUGAGUAACACGUGGGCAACCUGCCUCAUAGAGGGGAAUAGCCUCCCGAAAGGGAGAUUAAUACCGCAUAAGAUUGUAGCUUCGCAUGAAGUAGCAAUUAAAGGAGCAAUCCGCUAUGAGAUGGGCCCGCGGCGCAUUAGCUAGUUGGUGAGGUAACGGCUCACCAAAGCGACGAUGCGUAGCCGACCUGAGAGGGUGAUCGGCCACAUUGGGACUGAGACACGGCCCAGACUCCUACGGGAGGCAGAAGUGGGGAAUAUUGCACAAUGGGGGAAACCCUGAUGCAGCAAUGCCGCGUGAGUGAUGACGGCCUUCGGGUUGUAAAGCUCUGUCUUCAGGGACGAUAAUGACGGUACCUGAGGAGGAAGCCACGGCUAACUACGUGCCAGCAGCCGCGGUAAUACGUAGGUGGCAAGCGUUGUCCGGAUUUACUGGGCGUAAAGGGAGCGUAGGCGGAUUUUUAAGUGAGAUGUGAAAUACCCGGGCUUAACUUGGGUGCUGCAUUUCAAACUGGAAGUCUAGAGUGCAGGAGAGGAGAAGGGAAUUCCUAGUGUAGCGGUGAAAUGCGUAGA